UACGUAGGGGGCGAGCGUUGUCCGGAUUUACUGGGCGUAAAGCGCGUGUAGGCGGCUGCUUAAGUCGGGUGUGAAAGCCCCGGGCUUAACCUGGGAAUGGCAUGGGAGAACUGGCUAGCUGGAGUGUGGCAGAGGGGGGUGGAAUUCCGCGUGUAGCAGUGAAAUGCGUAGAGAUGCGGAGGAACACCGAUGGCGAAGGCAGCCCCCUGGGCUGACACUGACGCUCAGGCACGAAAGCGUGGGGAGCAAACAGG
Molecule: ribosomal RNA, 254 nt
Filed under: uncultured bacterium
Lineage: Bacteria
Description: partial 16S ribosomal RNA
Rfam family: Bacterial small subunit ribosomal RNA
Source: RNAcentral